This 301-nucleotide ribosomal RNA is filed under the name uncultured bacterium. RNAcentral's name for it is "partial 16S ribosomal RNA". It matches the Rfam family "Bacterial small subunit ribosomal RNA", at positions 509 to 807 of the family's 1533-position model. The record is from RNAcentral.
CAGCAGCCGCGGGAAUACGAAGGGUGCAAGCGUUAAUCGGAAUUACUGGGCGUAAAGCGCGCGUAGGUGGUUUGGUAAGAUGGAUGUGAAAUCCCCGGGCUCAACCUGGGAACUGCAUCCAUAACUGCCUGACUAGAGUACGGUAGAGGGUGGUGGAAUUUCCUGUGUAGCGGUGAAAUGCGUAGAUAUAGGAAGGAACACCAGUGGCGAAGGCGACCACCUGGACUGAUACUGAAACUGAGGUGCGAAAGCGUGGGGAGCAAACAGGAUUAGAGACCCGAGUAGUCCCUGUCUCUUAUAC